Long non-coding RNA from Lagopus leucura (white-tailed ptarmigan), 3023 nucleotides. RefSeq lists it as uncharacterized. The record is from RefSeq and is a predicted model, not a curated record. The transcript is spliced from 2 exons. Lineage: Eukaryota; Metazoa; Chordata; Aves; Galliformes; Phasianidae.
AAAGAAAAGAAAAAAAAAGAAAAAAAAAGAAAAAGAAAAAAGCUGCACCCACUGAUAUUCAUCAACACUUGCUAAACAUUUAUGGAGCUCAAACCAUGAAUGCAAAUACAGCGAGGCAGUGAGAGGCACUUUUCAGCUAUGGUAACUGUGAGUCACCUUCAAUGGUACUAAUUUUUAAAAGGACUACGUGCAGGCUAGUGAAAAUACGAAGUACAUGGUGGAGACUGUGUUGAAAAAAUAGUGUUCCAAUAGCUAUUUUGUGGCUAAGAAUGUGUUCUUUCAAAUAGCGUUAUUAUGCUCUUUUAUCUAUUGCAGUUUCCACAGAAGUAAGUAUGAGGCAUUACUUUCGGAGCAACCUAUAUAUUUUCCUAGCCCUUGCACCCAAGUUCCCCCUGUCCCUUCAUCAAAUAUUUCUCUCCAUGCAGAGCCUUGGCUUUAAAAAAAUAGUUUAAGUUUGUUUAGAAAAAUGAGAAUCAGAACCUGAGGGCAUACAGCUUGGCACUCAUACAUAGACAAGUGUUGAUUAUGUUUUAGGACAAAACCAAGUUUUAAUGAAGCACAAUGUGACAUUUAAAUCCCCUUUGUAGAGGUAGAAACCCAGUGUUUUAACCUAAUCCAUCCAGAUAUGAAAUACUGAUACCAGAUAUUGAUUUAUUGCUAUUAGUGAUAACCGAAUUUGAGAGCUUAUAAUGUGAACAAGGUAGCGUAAAUACAGUUGUGAUCUCCAAUUCAGAGUAAGACAUCCACAUCUGUAAUAAGACAAUAGCAGAUUCUAACAAGAAUCUACUGCUUCUUGUAAACAUUGUAUUUGUGCAGAUUCUUUUAUCAUACUUUGAUUUCUAACGUUAUGAAAGGCAAGGUUAGUAGCAGAAAACACAUCCAGUUUCACAUUCAGCAAUAUGAGAACCCUGCUCUUCAAGGACAACCAAAAACCUAGCAGCACAUUUUUCAAACAAUAUUACAAGUUUUUCUGAAUUUCCCACCCCCCCACUCAACCCACCCCCCAACAAAAAACAACAACAAAUCUGACACCAAAAAUAAAGUGCAGUACCCAGAAAAAUAAGUGUCAAGAAAAUAGCCAUGUUCUUUCCUUUGUUAAGAAAAAAAAAAAGGUACUUGGCCUCAGUCUUAACAAUGCUAUACUGUGUCCAUCAUUUUGGAUUCUUCUUCAUCUCUUUGUAUCACAGAGUUUAAACUGCAGACAUUUGUAUUUAUGGAACCUUGUAGAUCACCUGUGUUCUGCAACAGAUGAAAAAUCGACAGCUUAAUUCUCCACAACCGCAGGGAGAAAGGAGAACUUCUAGCUUGAAGAGAGACUCUUCAUAUUGCCUACCUUAAGAUGAGACAAACAUGCAAUACUAAUAAAAUAAGCUUACAAAAAUUCAUUACCCAAUACUACUGCACUGUGUUAAAGUGCCUUUUUUCUUUUUUUUAAAUUUAAGUUAGCACAGAUUGUGUUUGGUGUAUUUCUAGCACUGUAGACUGUACAUUAACUAGAAUUUAACUAUGGAGCUUGUCUGAAAAGUACUUUAAUCAAAUUAAAACUAAAGCUAAGUAGUUUCAACUAUAUCUCCUUCUCUAAUAUCUGAUUUUCGAAGAUCUUUUCAGUUGCUUCUUCAUUCCAGGAUAUGGCCAUCACUAGUAGUCUAACAAAACAUGUAAGCAACCUUAAGCUUUCUUCUGUGACAACAGGCGAUCUUCAGGCUUCACUUAGCUGAAGGAUCCUAUGAAUUGCAUUGAUUAUUUUAACCUAAAAGCCUCUUCCCCUGCUUGUGGUAAGAAUCACAGGAUCACCAAGAUUGGAAAAGACCUCCAAGAUCAUCUAGUCCAGCCAUCCACCUACCACCAACACUUCUCCACUUCUUCUAAUGCCCAACCUGAACCUACCCUGGUGCAACUUGAGGCCAUUGCCUCUAGUCCUAUAGUUACGCAGAAGAAGAGGCUGACCUCCACCUAGCCACAACCUCCUUUCAUAUAGUUGUAGAGAGCUAUAAGGUCUCCCCUGAUCCUCCUCCAGACAAGUUCUAACAGGUGAAAAGAGUAUAUAUAUGCCUUGUAUAUUGAUAAUACUGGAAGUUAUAUCUUGAGUGCUCUAUUCUAGGAAUAAUUCUCUUUAAUUGCAGAAAGGUACAACUUCUCAACAUAGGAAUUAAUCCCAAUUUGGUUAAGUUCAUUUCUAGAAGUAAUAAACUUACCUGUGACAAAGAUGUCAGCUGUUCUACAAGACUAGGAUUGAUAGUGGGAUUAUAUAGUAAGAUAGCCUGAAAGCUAUCUGAUUGCGACCAGAUUCUUACUCUUGUCUUGAAUGCCUCAAGUUCACUUUUAAAUGCCUCAAAAUAGCCUUCUCCUGUCUGCAAAAAGAAAAAAUGAAGUAUCCUCAUUUCAAACAGAUUAUCUUAUGAAUUGCAAACCUUUUGUUUACUGAAAAAGUAAUGAAUGUCAGCCAAAAAAAAAAAAAAAAAUCAUAUCUAAAUUUUCACUAAGACUAACUGUAGCACUUAAACACAAAAGCAAAGUCAUUUAUUCAUCUAAAGACGUGUAAAAAGAAAUCUCAUUUUAGCCCUUCUUUUAUUAACUUGAGAGAAAUGUGGCCUGUUCUAAAAUUCUGGCCAAGAGAAAUGCACAAGUUGACUCAGUCUGCAGAACUUCUUAAAGGAUUUGACUGAGCUCCUAUUAAUGUGGUAUUAAGACCCAUCAGACAUGAAUAACUGAAUACAGUCAACAGCAAACCAGUUUGAGUCUUUCUACAUUUCUUCUGCAUUUUUAAGAUAGGAAUUACAGCAAAAUAUCUAUGAAGAACUACUAAUAAAACACGUCCCCAUACUACUAAGUGAAUAAAAUACUUAGCAUCUUGCAGCUAGGAAAAAAACUACUCUAAAAUACUGGUUCCUUGUAAAAUGUUAAGAGUUUCUACUAUCAUUAUACAGUCACUUACUUUGGCUUUUUGGAAAAAUAGACGAAAACAGCCUCUUGGAUCCACAUUGCAGUUUUUGGCAAUUUCAAUAAUAAACUGCAUUACUACU